RNAcentral lists this ribosomal RNA (440 nucleotides) under uncultured bacterium. RNAcentral describes it as "bacterial SSU rRNA". It matches the Rfam family "Bacterial small subunit ribosomal RNA", at positions 340 to 789 of the family's 1533-position model. The record is from RNAcentral.
UACGGGAGGCAGCAGUGGGGAAUAUUGGACAAUGGGCGAAAGCCUGAUCCAGCCAUGCCGCAUGAGUGAAGAAGGCCUUCGGGUUGUAAAGCUCUUUUAGUGAGAAAGAUAAUGACGGUACUCACAGAAGAAGUCCUGGCUAACUCCGUGCCAGCAGCCGCGGUAAUACGGAGAGGGCUAGCGUUAUUCGGAAUUAUUGGGCGUAAAGAGCGCGUAGGCUGAUUAGUAAGUUAAAAGUGAAAUCCCAAAGCUUAACUUUUGGAAUUGCUUUUUAAAACUGCUAGUCUAGAGAUUGAAAGUAGGAUAGAGGAAUUCCGUAGUGUAGAGGUGAAAGUUCGUAAAUAUUAGGAGGAACACCAGUAGGCGAAGGCGUCUAUCUGGUUCAAAUCUGACGCUGAGGCGCGAAGGGCGUGAGGAGCAAACAGGGAUUAGAUACCCGU